CAGCCUGCUCUCCCGGCGGAGGGGGAGGGCGCCUUUCGCAUGGAUCCGCUCGCUAGCUGAGGGCAGCGCCGCGCCGGGCCGGGUCCUGUGAUGCAGCAGUCGUGUGCGGGCAGGCCCCCCUUCUAGGCGCUGCCUGCGCUCUGCGCACGGGGUGGCGGAGGCGCGGGGCUUGGCCCCGCUCCAUGGAGACCAAUGGCAUCGCUUCCACCCACCCCCACCGGCCCCGAGCCCGCCGGCACGCACAGCUACACGCUACAGCCCACCAUGGCCCCACCGCCGCCGCCGCCGCUCCAGCCGUCGGCGAGUGGAAAGGUAGAAGGCCAGCCCAAUGGUGACACAAUCCCAGCUGAGCAAGCCAACCCUUCAGAUGACACUGUUGCUGGUGCUGGGAGUCGUCAGAAUGAUCAGAUAGUGCAGAAAAUAGAGGAAGUGCUCUCUGGAGCCCUUGAUACAGAGCUGCAGUGCAAAUCAGAUGUAGACAAAAAUACUGUGAAAAAUAGUUCUCAGCCUACAAAAAGAAGCUCUACUGCUGAAGAUGAAAUUCCUAGGAAAAAAUCAAAGAAGAACAAGAAGCACAAAAGCAAGAAGAAGAAGAAAAAGAAGAAGAAAAGGAAGAAAGAGAAAAAGCAUAAAAAGCAGCCAAAGGAGGCAAAGCUGAGUGCACGUCAUGGAGACCGUGGGGACGCACAGCCUACUUCUCAGUUAAUACCAGAGAAAUCAAGCUCCAAACUGAGCGUACAGCAUGGAGGAUUUGAAGGUGCAAAUCUGGCUGUCCAUACGCAGCCAGAACUGUGCUUGCAAACAAGUGAGGAGCUUGACAGACAAGCUGUAGGGCUUGUUUCUCAUUCAGGAACUGAUUCUCAGCAAUCUACAGAAAAUCUUGGGAGUGAGAAGGGGACUUUGUUUGCAACAAAUCCUCCAUUUACUUUAGAAGGCAGUCAGUCUGAUACCCAAGGAGAUGCUAGUAUAGCUCAAACUAGAAUUUGCACUAGAGAAGAACAAAUUAAACAGUCUCAUGACAAUAUUUAUCCUAUAGCUAUUAAUGUGAGUGAAAAGGGUGUUCUUGUUGAUACUGGAAGUAAUACUUCAUCUAGCAUCCUGUAUGAAGUCACCAAUAAAUCUGACAUACAGAAAGAUUCAACAGUAACUCUAGCUUCAGAGGUAGUUGAGGCACUAAAAGGUUCAGAAGUUACUCUGAAAUCUAAAGGCACUGGGGAAGUAAAAGCUUUGGAUACAGCUCUUGAGUCUGAGUCCAUGGAGGUGUUGACAUAUUCAGAAGCAUUUCUACAGUCUGUGGCACAGGGGGGAGCAAAAGAAAUGGAAGCAACUUCGGAGUCUGUGUAUUCAGCAAGUAAUGUAACAACUAGUCCUAAAUUUGCAAGUCAGGCAGAUCUGAGUACUGUGAAUGUAGGUCACAUGUCUGUGGCCAUGGAAGAAGUGAGAAUUCAAGAAGCAACUGAAAAAUCUCUGCCUAUGGGAAAUGUGGAAAGAUCUUUGGAAUUAGGAGGUCUGAGCAGAACUUUGGAGCCAGCCGUGAAACUCUCAGUUACAUCUGAUGACUUGAGAGUGAUGCAGGCCAGUCCCAUUGAGGGUUCAAGUGUUUUGAAGGCAGAUGCGUCUUUGCAACAUCCUUAUAAAGUAUCUGCAGCGGCUGCUGUGACCCAGAUGGAAAUAAAAAGUGUCAAUAUGGACCAGGGCUCAGGAGCUGUUACAGAAGUGAAGGGUACUGAACCAGCUAGAAGCUCUGGACAUACGGAAAAUGUGAAAACUUUGGAAGGAGCUUUGCAGCCAGUUGCUGUAGGAAAGCCCGAAAGUUUGGAAACAAUCCUGAAACCUGUGGAUGUUGCAGCAAAAGAUGUCACAGCAGCUCAAGAACAUCUGCAAGCUGAAGUAAAAUAUGUGGAAGGUACCACUGGUCCUGCAACAGUGUUGUAUGCAUCAGGAGUGUUCCUACAGCCUAAUGUCUUGACAGACACAAGAAGUGUGGAUAGAACCCAGGAAUCUAUCCUUCCAGCAGAAUUGACACAUGUGAAUUUGGUUGCGGAGAUAGAGGGUUUAAGAUCAGCUUUAGAACCUAUUGGCCAGACCUUUGCUCCCCAGACAGUUCCAGAAAUCCAGAUGGUGGAGUGUUUUAAAGGUCCACAAGCAACUGCAGAAGUUGCAGCACUAACAGGAGUAAAAAUUCGAGAAACAAGUCAAGCUGCUCUGCAGCUGGAAAAUACAGAUGCUUCAAAAAUUUCAGAAUCUACUUUCAAGCCUGUUGCUGUAACAGCAAAAGAUUCAGAAGAUACUUCAUUACUGAGACGAGAGGAACCGAGAGAAUUAAGAUAUGAGGGUGAAUCAAGUGUGAGAGGUCCCCUGUCUUUGCAGAAUGAAGGUAUGAGUGGCCUAGGAGGAGUCCUAAGACCAGUGGCUGUGGUGGAAGCAGAAACUUUGAAAACAAUUUCACCAUCUUUGCAAAUGGAAGGUGUAAAGGCUUCCGAAGUUGUGCACUGUGGGACUGUGGCCAGAGGUUUAGCAGCAACAGUGGGUUCAACAGUGGUGUCAAAAGCUUCAGAGAUAAAUUUUGAGGGUAUGGCAGUAGAGGCAGGCUCAGAUGCCAGUCUGGCUAUGAAAGUAGAAGCAAGUCCAGGGCUUCCUGCCUUGGAAGAAACGUCGGAAAGGCCUCCUGAAUCUGUGGCUGCAUGUGUAAGCAUGGAAGCGGUUAGGGAGUCUAACGCAUUAGCAGGAAUGAUGCAUUUGAAAACCACAGCAGAUGGAGAACCAAAACAUACAGAAGCAGUUGCAGAACCUCUUGGUGCAAACAGAACAGAGAGUUACAUUUCACAGUCUCAGGUCAUGGCACAUACAAGAAUGCCACAACCUGAUACAGUAGGGGACAUAAAGGAUUCUGAACUAGCUACCAGUUCUGCCACCGUAGAAGUGAGGGAUUUAGACAACUUGAAAGUUGAGGCAGUUGCAGAGGUAAGAGAUGUGGAAGUGAGAUCAAAAACUUCACACUUAACACAGAUGAAAAAUUUGGAAAUGGUUGUGGGAUUUGAAACAAGGGCCCUAAUGGAAGGCAUGGGAAGAGCAUUGGCAUCUGAGGUGGUUAGGAAAAUGAGAUAUUCUGAAGUUGCUCCAGAAGAUUCAAACAAAGCAAAGGCAAGGAGUGAAGAAGCAGUAUUAGAACCCCAGCAAACUGUGAUGGUGCAGACUUUAGAAACAAGUUCAAAAUCUAUACAGGAACAAAUAGUAGGUCAUUCAGAAGCAGUAUUAGAGCAUUUGCCCAGAGUGGAAGAAAAGACUAUGGCAUCAGAAAUGGUGACAGAAGUAAGCAACUUGAGAGGAACUUUGGAAUCUAAGAUUUCAACAGAUGUGAGAACUCAGGGACCUACUGUAGAAUAUAUAAUUGCAACAAGGAAGACAAGCACACAAAAAAAUGAGCCCUCGCUUAGCGAUGUCAAAUAUUUGGAAGAAGCUUCAGAAAUGGAGAAAUCAGUGAAUGCAGAAUACUUGGAGCCAGCAUCAGAAGCUGGAGAACUGAGGUUGGAAAGUAUGAAAGAGUCUGCAACAGUAGAGGUGAAAGGUUCUGAAACAGUCGAAGUGCCUGAGGUACACAUGGAUAUCCAAGGAAAUCUGGGGGCGAUGAAUGUUUUAGAGCAUGUUUCAGAAGCUGUUCCAGAAUCUUUACAUAUUGAAAAGGAAGAAAAUCUGCAAACCAUUCCAGAAGCAAAAGCUGCUGUAGAAUGGAAGAGUACAGAAGAAGCUCCAGAAAUCCUGACUGCUGCUGAAGUGAAAUCUUCUGAAGCAGGUCUAAAACUAGGGGACAUGAAACAUUUGGAAGCAUCACUGGAACAUGAAGUGGCAGCAGAAGUACGAUAUGCAGAAGUGCAGUGUCAGCAGGUGGAGGAUGUGAGAGCUCCAGGUCAAGCUCAGGAAUGUGAGAUUCUAGUUGAGAAGAAAGAUACAGAGCAAAGUCAAACAUCUGAGCCUUUUACAGCAGAAACAGCUUUCAGCUCUUCACAUGCUGCAGAUGAAAAAGAGACUCCUGAAUCUGAAAUAAUCGGAGACGUGAAACAGUUGGAAGCAGCUCCAGCUGAUGUGGCAGAAACAAAAGGUUUGGAAACCGUUUCUCUUCCCGACACUGUUGUAGAGCUGAAAGAUGCAGAAGCAGCUGUGGGGUUGGAGGGAGAGACACAAGAUUUGGAAGCAGCUUCAGUACCUGAGACUGUUGAAGAAGCAGAGCCAGUACCUGUGGCAGAGGCAGGCCAGGUGGAAGUCAUUCCACAGGCUGAGGCUGUCAAAGAAGCAACUCCAGAACAGGAUUCAGAGAAAAGAGAUUCAGAAACAUCCGAUGUACAACCUGAUGUGGCGGCACGAAUGAAAGAGACUCUGAUGAGACUCGAGAAAGUUGUUGAAAAAAGUAGCCAUAGAAGCAGUGAUAAAAAACAUGAUGCAAAGAAACAAAAAAGGAGUCGCUCCAAAUCUCACUCCAGGUCUAGGAAGCGGAAGAAAAAAUCAAGGUCACGUUCCACUUCUAGACGUUUGACCUCUAAAAGAGCACGUUCUAGGAGCAGAAACUAUUCAGAUUCCAGAAAAAAGCAUUCCAAAUCUAGAUCCCGAUCUGUGGAGAAGAGAGAGAGAAGAGUGUCUUCCCGGAGGUCUAGGCGCAGACGUUCCAGGUCAUCUGACCACUACAGGUCUAAAUCGAGAUCAGCAGAGAAGAGAGGGAGCAGAUUGUCCAGACGCAGACGUUCCAGGUCAUCUGACCGCUACAGGUCUAAAUCCAGAUCAGUGGAAAAGAGACUGUCCUCCCGAAGGUCCAGACGCAGGCGUUCCAGGUCGUCUGACCGCUACAGGUCUAAGUCCAGGUCAGUGGAAAAGAGACUGUCUUCUCGAAGGUCUGGGCGGAGACGUUCCAGGUCUUCUGACCGCUACAGGUCUAAGUCCAGGUCAGUGGAAAAGAGACUGUCCUCCCGAAGAUCUGGGCGCAGACGUUCCAGGUCAUCUGACCGUUACAGGUCUAAGUCCAGGUCAGUGGAAAAGAGACUGUCCUCCCGAAGGUCUGGGCGCAGACGUUCCAGGUCGUCUGACCGUUACAGGUCUAAGUCCAGGUCAGUGGAAAAGAGACUGUCCUCCCGAAGGUCUGGGCGUAGACGUUCCAGGUCUUCUGACCGCUACAGGUCUAAGUCCAGGUCAGUGGAAAAGAGGGGGAGCAGGUUGUCCUCUUGGAGAUCCCGCCGCAGACGUUCCGGGUCUUCUGACCGUUCUAAAUCUAGAUCCAGAUCUUCAGAAAAGAGAGGAGGCAAAGAAUACUCAUGGAGAUUCAGACAUAGAGGAUCUGGUUCCUCUGAUCGUUCAAAAUCUAGGUCAAGAUCUGUUGAGAAGAGAGGUCGGAAGGCAUCUCUGCGGAGAUCUAAACGUCAGCGGUCAAAGUCCUCUGACCGUUACAAGUCUCGGUCCAGAUCAGUAGAAAAAAGAGAUCGAAAGCAGUCUUCACGGAAGUCUAAACGUCAGCGCUCAAAGUCUUCUGACCGUUACAAAUCUAGAUCUAAAUCAGUGGAAAAAAAGAAAGAGUCUUCACGGAAGUCUAAGCGUCGCCGCUCAAAAUCAUCUGAACGUUACAAGUCUCGGUCUAGGUCUGUCGAAAAAAAGCGCAAGGAAUCUUCAAAAAAAUCCAAACGGAAACGUUCCAAGUCAUCUGAUAGUGUUAAGUCAAGGUCAAAAUCUGUAGAAAAAAGAGGGAGUAAAUUAUCCUCAGUGAAGUGUAGCAGCAAAGGUGUGGAAUCUUCUGAAUGUCAGGAUUCAACCCAGUGUCUUGAAGAAGGAGAAAUAGUUGAACAGUCUUCUGCAAGUGAAGACAGUCCCCGCAAAUCCUCUAAUGGUCCCAUGUCAGUAGCUUUGUCUGAUGAAAGGGUAAAUGGCCCAGAGCUGCCUCCAGCAUUUGAUAGUGGGUUUUCCAAAACUUCUGACAGUCUUGAGAGCAGUUCCUCGUCUGUUAAAGAAAUAGCAGGUCUACAGCCUUCUGUGGUGUCCGAAUUUGAUAGCUCCAGAAUCUCAGAUGACCAGGAAAGAUCACAGGUUUCAGAGCUUUCUGUGACAUCUGGAAAUGGAUCAGCCGAAAAAGCAGUGGCUCUGGAGUCCUCACUACCUGAACUUACAUGCUCCACAUCCAAGUCAAGAUCCUCAUCUGUUGAAAAAAGAGAUCCAGAAACUUCUUCGUUAACAGAAUUUCAGCUCUCUGCAUCCCAUGAGGAUGAGUCGAGAUCUACUUCUGUCAAAGAAAUAGAGGGUCCAGAGUCUCUUCUGACACUUGAAAGUGGAUGCUCUGUGUCUUCAGAUGAUUACAAGACAACCUCCUUAGCCUCCAGAAGAACAGAGGUUCAGGAAUCUUUGAUGUCUGAAAGUGUACUCUCUGGCUUGCCUGAUGCUCAUGAAUUGAGACAUACCCCAGUUGAAAAAACAGAGACUCAGAACUUUUUACAAGUACCUGAAAGUGAAUCUUCUGAAGCAGCAGAGGCUCAAAAUUCUUUUCUAGCACCUGAAGUUCCAUGCUCUGCAUUCCCUGAUGACUGUGAGUCAGCCUCCUUGCCUGCUGAAAAGGGCCAGAUGCAGGAGCCUUCUUUGGCUUCUGACAGUGGAUGCUUCAGAUCUCCUGAUGCUCAUGAACCCGGAUCUAGCUUUAAUGCACAAACAGAGGAGCUUCUGUUGAUGUCUGAAAGUGGGUCCUUCAGGUCACCUGAUGGAAAUGAACAAAGGUCUUUUUCUGUUGAAAAAGUCAAGGCUCCAGAUGUUUCCUUGCAAGCGGAAUGCGGCCGUGUUGAGAUCUUGGAUGACCUCGUUUCAUCAUCGUCAUUUGGAAGAGUACAGGAAGCUGGACUGACAACUGUAGGGCAAAGCUGCAAGUCUUCUGGAGUUCAUGAGUCCAGAUCAUCUGUUGACAAAGAUGGUCUAACACUUCCACAAGUACUCGAAAUUGAGUGCUCUGAACCUUCUGAAAUGCAUGAAUCGAGAUACCUGCCUGCUGGAAAAAUAGAGGGUGCAGGAUCUGUAUUGAUGUCUAGAAGUGGAAUUCCUGUGUGCCAUGAUGGCCAUAAAACAAAACACAAUUACUUUGAGAAAACAGAAGGUGCAGAACUGUUGUUGGCAUCUGAACUUAGGUGUUCUGUCUUCCCUGAAAGCUAUGAAUUGACAUCCACUGCAGUUGAAAAAAUGGAGAUGCAGAGGCUGGAAAGUGGAUUCUCCAAGUCUGGUGAUGUUUGUGAAGCAUUAAGCACACCUAUGGAAAAACUACAGGCCCCAGUGACUUCGCUGACAUCUGAAGGUGGGCUUUUCCCGUUGCCAGAUAGUCAUGAACUGAGACCUGUCCCUGCUGAAGAAGUGGAGGUGCUAAAGUCAUCUGAACUGAAAUGUGUUGCAUCCCCAGAUGACCACAAGUUGAGAUCUGUCUAUCAUGAAGAAAUACAGGUGCAGGAGCCACCUCUGAUAGUGGAAGGUAGAUGUUCAGUUUUGUCUGAUGGUGAUGAGUUGACGUCCACCUCUUUUGAAAAAGUUGAGGUAGAGGAGCCUUCUCAGUUGUCUGCAAAUGAAUACACAAUUGGGCUUGAUGGCCCAGAGUUGACAUCAACCCCUGCUGAAAAAACAGAACUGCGGGAACUUUAUCGGAUGUCUAAAGAAAGAUGCUCUGUGUCUGCUGAGAGUGAGGAGUUGCGGACACCCCUAAUUGAAAAGAUAGAAGUGCAAAAGCCUGCUCUGACAUCUGAAAAUGAAUAUGCUGUGUCUUGGGAAGGCCAGAUGGCAUCUAGCUCUCCUGAAAAGGUAGAGAUACAGGAGGCUUCUGUAGUACCUGACAGUGAACAUGCUGUGUCUUCUGAAGAACACGAAUUGUCUUCCCUUGCUGAAAAAACAGAGAUACAGGAGUGUUCUUUGCUGUCUGAAAAUGAAUAUGUUGCAUCACCUCACAGCCAGGAGGUGGCAGCCAGCCCUGCUGAGAAAGAGGUGCAGGAGCCUUCUCUGACAUCUGACAGUGGAUAUACUGUCUUCCCUGAAGGCCAAGGAUUACAGUUUACCCUUGCUGAAAAAAUAGUGGUACAGGGACCUUCACUAAUAUUGGACAGUCAAUAUGUUGCAUCCUCCGAGGGUCAGGAGUUGCACUCUGCUGUCACUGAAAAAACAGAGGGACAGGAGUGUUCUUUGCUGUCUGAAAAUGAGUAUGAUGUAUCCCCUCAACGCUGUGAUUUAAGGUCCAGUCCUGUUGAAAAAGAAGAAAUGGAGGAGCCUUCUGAAACAUCUGAAAGUGAAAGUUCAAUGUCCACUGAUAGCCAAGAGCUGCAGUCUGCUGCUGUUGGAAAAACAGAGGUGCAGGAGUUGUCUUUGUCUGAAGGUGAAUGCGCCAUGUCCCCUGGAGGUCAGGAGAUGCGGUCCAGCCCUGCUGAAAAAGUAGAGGCAAAGGAACCUUCUCUGACAUCUGAAAAUGUUCUGUCCCCUCAAGAAUGUGAAUCAAGGUUGACUCGUGCUGAGAAAACAGAGGAUAUGAAUUCUUCUUUGACAUCUGAAAACGACAAUCUUUUGUCUUUUGAGGGCCAGGAUGUAAGAUUCACAGCUGUUCAGAAAACAGAUUUGCAGGAGCUUUCUUCAACUCCUGAAAAUGAACAUGCAGCAUCUCCUUAUGGCCAGGAGUUGAGAUUCUCUGCUAUUGGAAAAGAAGGUGGUUUCGAAGUUUCAACGCUAAAUGAUAGCAUCUCCAUGUCCCCUGAUGAUUUGAAAGCCAUCCCUGCCGAAAAAAUGGACGAUGCAAUGCCAUCUUUAAUUCCUGAAAGUGCAUCUUCCAUGUCCCCUGAUGGCUACAGUGUAAAAUCGGGUCCUGGUGAAGAAACAGGAGAUCUAGAGCCCUCUUUGAUACCUGAACGUAGACAUUCUACAUCCUCAUAUCAGGAGAGCCAUGAGCUGAAAUCUCCCAUGGAGGAAGAAGGUCUAGAGUCCUCUUUGACUCCUGAACAUAGACGAUCUGUGUCCCCUGAGGGCCAUGACCGAAAAUCUAUCGUAGAUGAAGAAAUGGAUGAUCGGGAGCCCUCUUUGACAUCUGAACAUAGGCGCUCCACAUCCCCCGAUGACCAUGAGUCAAGAUCUAGCAUUGGUGAAGAAGCAGAGUAUCUGGAGCAGCCUUUGACAACAGAACGUAGGUGCUCUGUGUCUUCUGAUGAGCAUGAGUCAAGGUCUACCGCUGGGGAAGAGGUAGAGGAUGUAGAACCCUCCCUUACAGCUGAACGAAGAGACUCCACAUCUUCUGAUGAGCGUGAGUCGAGGUCUACUGCUGGUGAAGAUGCAGAAGAUGGGGAGCCCUCUUUGACAGCUGAACGUAGGCACUCCACAUCCUCUGAUGACCGUGAAUCAAGGUCUACAACUGGUGAAGAAACAGAGGAUUUAGAACCUUCUUUGACAGCUGAACACAGACGCUCCGUGUCUCCUGAUGGCCGUGAAUCAAGGUCAACCACUGGUGAAGAAGCAGAGGACCGGGAGUGCUCUCCAACAGCUCAACGUAGACACUCCACAUCCUCAGAUGAAUCUGAGUCAAGGUCUACCGCUGGUGAAGAUGUGGAUGAUGUAGAGCCCUCCUUGACAGCUGAACGAAGAGAUUCCACAUCAUCAGAUGAUCAUGAGUCAAGGUCUACCACCGGUGAAGAAGCAGAGGAUGCGGAACCCUCUUUGACAACUGAGCACAGACGUUCCACAUCCCCUGAUGGACGUGAAUCGAGGUCUACCACAGGUGAAGAAGUGGAUGAUGUGGAGCCUUCUUUGGCAGCUGAACGAAGAGACUCCACGUCGUCAGAUGAGCAUGAGUCAAGGUCUACCACUGGGGAAGAGGGUGAGGAUGGAGAGCCCUCUUUGGCAGAUGAAGAUAAACAAGAUUCCAUGCCUCUUGAGAGGUCGGAGGAACAGGACUCUUCCUUUGUACCUGAAAGUAGGCGUUCUGAGUCUUCUGAACGUGAGAAAUCCAGAUCCAGAUCUGUUGAUAAAAUGUCUGACAAAGAGUCUUCACAGAGAUCCAUAAGCAGGCACUCAAAGUCUCCUGCUCACCAAAAGAGUCGAUCUGCAUCUGUUGAAAAAGUGGCAGACAGAGAAUCUUCACGGAGAUCUAGACGUAGGCGCUCCAGGUCUACUGCUCACCCGAAGAGUAGAUCCACAUCUGUUGAAAAAACAACAGACAAAGAAUCUUCACGGAGGUCUAGACGUAGGCGCUCCAGGUCCACUGCUCGCCAAAGGAGUCAGUCAACAUCGGUGGAAAAAGUGGCAGACAAAGAAUCUUCACGGAGAUCUAGACGCAGGCGCUCCAGGUCCACCGCUCGCCAAAGGAGUCGAUCCAAAUCUGGUGAAAAAACAGCAGACAAAGAAUCUUCACGGAGAUCUAGAAGCAGACGCUCCAGGUCUUCUCAGCGCAGAUCCCAGAGAUACGAUACAGAAUCUCGUUCUAGACGGAAUCGCUCCAGAUCAGUAACACGGAGAAGAGCAUCAAGAUCAAAAUCUAAUCGUCGGUCUCGGUCUAGUUCGUUGUCGCGUUCAAGGCAUAGAAGGAGGAGUAGGUCAAGGUCAGCAUCAAGGCGGCGGCGUUCUUUAUCAAGAGACAGGCGUAAGAGAUCACAGAGAAACAGAUCAAGAUCUACUGAUAGAAGAAGAAGAAGAUCAGAUUCAAGAGAUCGUAGAAUAUCACUCAGACUACGGAGCAGGAGUCGAACACCUAUUCGUCAAAGGCGAUCAAGGUCAAGAGGAAGAAGACGGAGCUCUAGUAGGUCACCAAUUCGGCUGCGGCGAUCAAGAUCUUCAGGGAGAAGAAGAUACAGCAGAUCACCUGACCGUCGUAGAUCAAGGUCAUCGGAAUUUUCAAACAGGUCACCUAAACGUCUUACAGACUUGGACAAGGCCCAGCUACUCGAAAUAGCCAAAGCUAAUGCAGCUGCCAUGUGUGCUAAGUCUGGUGUUCCCUUACCACCAAGCCUGAUGCCUUUGUUAUCUCAAAAGAAAGACGACAAAGCCAACCAGAAGUCAUCAAGAGAUACGCUAAAGGAGCUUACUGAGAAAUGCAAGAAGAUUGCCCAGAGCACAGAUGAUGUGAUAGUGAACAAACCUCAUGUUUCUGAUGAAGAGGAGGAAGAGCGUCCUUUCUAUAAUCAUCCUUUUAAGCUCAGUGAACCCAAACCUAUAUUUUUCAAUUUAAGUACUCCCAGCAUAAAACCAGCACCACCUCCACAACCAAAAAAUCAAGUCAGCCUGUCAAAGGAAUUCCCUGUUUCAUCUGGGUCUCAGCAUAGGAAAAAGGAAGCAGAUAGUGUCUAUGGAGAAUGGGUUCCAGUUGAAAAAGGCAAAGAAGACAGCAAGGAUGAUGUUUUCCCCAAACCAUCCAUUGAGGGCGUGGACAUAACUACAGCUAUGAAUGAUCGAGCAAUAGCUCAGAAAAGGCUUAAUGAAAACACAUUUGAUUUAGAGGCCAUGUGCAUGUUAAAUCGUGCACAGGAGCAGAUUGAUGCCUGGGCUCAAUCAAACUCCAUACCUGGCCAGUUCACAGGAAGUACUGGAGCACAGAUAUUGUCCUCGGAUGAGCUGACCAACAGUGGUCCCCAAGCAUGGAUUAGAAAGGAUCAGUUCUUAAGAGCAGCCCCUGUAACUGGAGGAAUGGGAGCUCAACUGAUGAGAAAAAUGGGCUGGAGAGAAGGAGAAGGGCUUGGGAAAAACAAAGAAGGCAGUGUUGAGCCAAUUAUGGUGGACUUUAAGACAGAUCGGAAAGGGCUUGUUGCUGUGGGAGAGAAGGCACAGAAGAGAUCUGGACAUUAUGUUGUGAUGAAGGAUCUUUCAGGUAAACAUCCCGUUUCUGCUUUGAUGGAGAUCUGUAACAAAAGAAGAUGGUCACCACCUGAAUUUGUGUUGGUGGAUGACAGUGGGCCUGAUCAUCGCAAACAUUUUAUCUUUAAGGUGAGAGUCAAUGGAAAUGAAUACAGGCCUACUUUUGCCAGCCUUAACAAGAAGCAUGCUAAAGCCACAGCAGCAACUGCGGCUCUCCAAGCGAUGGGACUUGUACCAAAGGAAAGCAUGGUUAAUACCACCAUGUUUAGGAGUGCCUCACACCGCUAGAUAUUGUUUUUUAUAUUGACAUUAUUUCAGAUAAUUUUACUCUGCACAAAAAUGGUAUUUGCCCUUUCAUGUUGUAAAUACAUUGGCAAUUCCCACGUUGUAAAAACUGUACAGACACCUUCAGGUUUUUCUUUUGUACCAUCAAAAUGUAUUUAAAUCAUACUUAGUUUUUGGUAUGUUUAUAUUGUUUACAUUAGUGAUGUAAUUAUUUCUUAAAUGACUAAAUCAGACGACAGACUCUGGAGGCAUCAGUAAUUGAAACCCUUGUUUUAAAGCUCGUGCGAUUCCUCUUCAAUACGGAAUGUUAACACUUUCAUACUGUUUUGUACGAUGCUGCAGUUUUCCCUGGUCUCGGUAAAGCUAUCCGUGCACUUUGCCGGCAGCUGGUGAAGGUCACCCGCUCACCCAUGGCUGGUCGAGGCUGGUGCAUGCUGCCGGAUAGGUACCGGGCAAUGCCGCGGCCCCGCGAGAAAGCACGUGGUGGUAGCCCUGUUGUACAGUGUUAGCACCGCGGCUGCUGUCUGUGUUCAGUCCAGGGUUGGACUUGGUGGUGUACUGCAGCUGGCCCCGCAGCCCAUGCUCCAGGAUGUACGUGAUUUAGGCAGAAGACAUGCACUCGGAGGGACGGCAGGAAGUCCAGCAGUGGAUCCCAUGAGACUCGCGAUGUGAAGGUGACUCUCCCUGCAUGUUCUAAGAAGGGAGAUGAUGGAGUUGUCUAUUCCAAACAAAUUAACACACUGCCUGAUGUUGAUUGUAUGAUUUUGUGGUUAAUGUGAAUUUUAAACUCUUAACAAAUCUACAACUGGAUUUGGGGGGGGGGGGGAAGGGAUAGAAUGACGCUUAAGUUGUUGUACCCAACUUGGUCAAUAAAAGCAGCACAAGUUCAUAAUCUUAAUCACUGGUCAGUAAGCAGUAAUUCAAGUGUCUGCCAAGUUGACUUGUGGAAGAAGGGCACAGUGUAAGAGUAUCCUGAAGAUCACCAAUAACUGUUAGAGCUGCAGGGUCACUUCUGGUUGCUUUGGAGUAUUACCAAAUUAAUUCCGUGGGCUUCCACUUUCCAUAAUGGUACUCUGCCCUCAAGGAGAAAGCCUGAUCCAGAGUUCAGGCAGUUUGACAAGGGAGAGGAUGUACAAAGCUUUUCCUUCUUUUACAUUUCUCACCCCCCCCCCCCCCCCCUUUCUUUUUUCCCCCUUUUAAUUUAAGAAGUGUUAGUACUUGAUCUGUGAUCACUUUGGAUUGGAAAGGGCAUUGCACACCUCUGUCUGGAUUUGUCUGAGUUAUGAUCAGGUUGCCAGGAUUUAUGGACUUCUGCAGCUCAGGUGCUUAUUUCAGAAAAGUCUUUUUGAGGUUUCUUUGUAUUACACCCCCUGAGCAGAGCCUCGUCUGGGAUAGGAACAAAACACAGUUUGUACACAGCAAGGCUGCGCUCAGGCCUAAAGCGUGUGAGUUUCUCCAUGGUAAUAGGAACACAGAGGUGAAGAAUUACUAGUACCUCUUCCACAAAGUAAGAUGACCUGUGUGUAUUCUGCCAACUGUUAAAGAACAAGGUGUCUUUCUGUGCCCUGAAGGGACAAGGGUCAUGUCUUAUGUACAGCAGAGAAAUGGUGUUUGGUUGUUGACUGCCCACUUCCAAAAAAUAAAGACCCUUACUCGUCUGUCAAAGCGCUCUAGGCCUAAGUUAAUUUUCAUGAACAUAAUUGUCUGUAAUUAAAACUUUUUUCCCUUUGGCUUCUCGCCUUCAGUCUCUGACUAAAUCUUUGGAGAUUUCCUCGCCGCAUUUGCUGCACUCCUUGGAAGGUGUGUAUAAAAAUAAUAGAAUAUGAUGGUACAGCAGUGGAAGGAUCCACCCUAGGAGAAGUGGGUGUUGUAUGGGUCUUAGCUCAAGUCGGGCUUGUUGAUGUAUGACUUAAGAGUAAUUAAUGGGGGAUGUGGGAGCAGCUCUUAAUCAGACUUUUGUGUAAAUGUCUGGUUUGAUAGAGCUGAAGCAGUUGAGAUGUUGAUUGUUCUGUUCACUCUGUCCAUGGUGUUCAUGUCAGCGCUGGUGUCACAGCUGUGCAGCAUCACAUCUGGGAACAUAACAAUCUCUUGUACCUGUUGCUUUGCCUUUUUUAGGUCUGUAUUCCCCAUGUAUAAUGUAAAGACAUGUUACUGCACAGCAGCAAGGAGCAGAUGAAUUUGGUCCCACUGAAGACUCCAUUUAAAAAAUAUUUAGGAAAGUUCUGGAUUUCACGCCUUAAAGAUGUGGUGCUGUACAUGGAUUUAACCUUUGGUCUUAAGGAAGACUUGUGAAAAAAGAUAACUAAGAAAUCGGAUGGAAGAUUUUCUCAAUGUUGGACGCUGACUCAGUUGAUCCAAAGUCUUGGGAUGCAGUCCACAUGUAGGAAGAUCUUUGUGUACCGUUUCCUGUGGGAAUUUACAUGAAGAGGAGGGACACGGCAUAGGUAUUUCUGUUUGAAGUACCUGCAGUUCUAAAUGUUCAUUUGUGUACCUCUGGGGAGCUCCAGAAAAGCUGAUUUCCUGGAUGAUUCCAUUUCUAAGGGAGGGACAAACCCUGCGGACUGCCAGGUGGUGAUCACAGGUAGUUGGGUGUAAACCCAUGUGUUAAGGGGAAGUUUUAUGUCAUUCUGUGUCCUACAGUUUGCAAUAAAGAUACUAUUCCUAACAGAAAA
Pezoporus occidentalis (night parrot) is the source of this 14774-nucleotide RNA transcript. It is a transcript of the gene named SON DNA and RNA binding protein, with no coding region annotated. Lineage: Eukaryota; Metazoa; Chordata; Aves; Psittaciformes; Psittacidae. The record is from RefSeq and is a predicted model, not a curated record. The transcript has 13 exons.